This is a non-coding RNA of Caenorhabditis elegans, 21 nucleotides long. NCBI's taxonomy places the organism in Eukaryota, Metazoa, Nematoda, Chromadorea, Rhabditida, Rhabditidae. The record is from Ensembl.
UAAUGUGAUUUUGGGUUGAAA